Molecule: ribosomal RNA, 263 nt
Filed under: uncultured bacterium
Lineage: Bacteria
Description: partial 16S ribosomal RNA
Rfam family: Bacterial small subunit ribosomal RNA
Source: RNAcentral
GUCCACGCAGUAAACGAUGAAUACUAAUUGUUCGGACUGAUUGAAGUCUGAGUGAUACAGCGAAAGCGUUAAGUAUUCCACCUGGGGAGUACGCCGGCAACGGUGAAACUCAAAGGAAUUGACGGGGGCCCGCACAAGCGGAGGAACAUGUGGUUUAAUUCGAUGAUACGCGAGGAACCUUACCCGGGCUCAAACGACGGAUGAAUACUUUUGAAAGGAGGUAGUCAGCAAUGACAUCCGUCGAGGUGCUGCAUGGUUGUCGU